GCGGCUUUAGCUCAAUUUUGAGAGCGUCAGACUGAAGAUCUGAAGGUCCCUUGUUUGAUCCACGGUAGCCACA
This is a non-coding RNA of Massospora cicadina, 73 nucleotides long. The record is from the annotation of a GenBank genome assembly. NCBI's taxonomy places the organism in Eukaryota, Fungi, Entomophthoromycota, Entomophthoromycetes, Entomophthorales, Entomophthoraceae.